Trichonephila inaurata madagascariensis is the source of this 73-nucleotide non-coding RNA. The record is from the annotation of a GenBank genome assembly. Lineage: Eukaryota; Metazoa; Arthropoda; Arachnida; Araneae; Nephilidae.
GUCCCUGUAAGACAAUAGAUAGCCCGUAGGACUUCUAAUCCAAAGGUCGUGGGUUAGAAUCCCACCUGGGAGG